CAGCCGCCGCGGUAAUACCGGCGGCCCGAGUGGCGGUCACUAUUAUUGGGCUUAAAGCGUCCGUAGCCGGGUUGGGAAGUCCUCCGGGAAAUCUGGCCGCUUAACGGUCAGAAUGCCGGAGGAUACUCCCAGCCUAGGGAGCGGGAGAGGCCGAGGGGAUUCCCGGGGUAGGGGUGAAAUCCUAUAAUCCCGGGAUGACCACCUGUGGCGAAGGCGCUCGGCUGGAACGCGUCCGACGGUGAGGGACGAAGGCCAGGGGAGCAAACCGGAUUAGAUACCCGGGUAGUCCUGGCUGUAAACGAUGCGGACUUUGUGUCGGACAAGCUAUGAGCUUGUCCGGUGCCGGAGGGAAACCGUUAAGUCCGCCGCCUGGGGAGUACGGCCGCAAGGCUGAAACUUAAAGGAAUUGGCGGG
RNAcentral lists this ribosomal RNA (414 nucleotides) under uncultured microorganism. RNAcentral describes it as "bacterial SSU rRNA". It matches the Rfam family "Archaeal small subunit ribosomal RNA", at positions 459 to 872 of the family's 1478-position model. The record is from RNAcentral.